UGACCCCUAGGGUAAUGGUAACCCGUCUCCCUUUGGCGGAGAAGACGUCCGUGUUCGAGUCACGGGGGGUCAG
Molecule: non-coding RNA, 73 nt
Organism: Kwoniella shivajii
Lineage: Eukaryota; Fungi; Basidiomycota; Tremellomycetes; Tremellales; Cryptococcaceae
Source: the annotation of a RefSeq genome assembly